This 125-nucleotide ribosomal RNA is filed under the name Lanthanotus borneensis (Borneo earless monitor). Its description in RNAcentral is "partial 16S ribosomal RNA". Lineage: Eukaryota; Metazoa; Chordata; Lepidosauria; Squamata; Lanthanotidae. The record is from RNAcentral.
UAUGCGCAUUCUCCUUAGUACGAAAGGAUUCAGGAGAAUGGGACCUAUAUUAAUAAUAAGUCCCCACAACCAGCUGACUAAAACUCAAGCUAUCGGGCCCAAAUACCCCCCCAGACAAGGGUUUU